GAUGAACGCUGGCGGCGUGCUUAACACAUGCAAGUCGAACGGAAAGGCCCUGCGUUUGCGGGGUGCACGAGAGGCGAACGGGUGAGUAACACGUGAGUAACCUGUCCCUGACUUUGGGAUAACUUCAGGAAACUGGGGCGAAUACCGGAUAUAAGCUCCUGCUGCGUGGUGGGGGUCGGAAAGUUUCGGCGGUUGGGGAUGGACUCGCUGGUUAUCAGCUUGUUUGUGUGGUAGUUGCUUACCAAGGCUUCGAAGGGUAGCCGGCCUUAGAGGGUGACCGGCGACAUUGGGACUGAGAGACGGACCAGAAUCGUACGGGAGGCAGCAGUGGGGAAUAUUGCACAAUGGGCGGGAGUGAGAUGAAGAGACGCCGCGUGCGGGAUGACGGCCUUCGGGUUGUAAACCGCUUUCGAAUGUGACGAAGCGUGAGUGACGGUAAUGGGUAAAGAAGCACCGGCUAACUACGUG
This 468-nucleotide ribosomal RNA is filed under the name uncultured bacterium. Its description in RNAcentral is "partial 16S ribosomal RNA". It matches the Rfam family "Bacterial small subunit ribosomal RNA", at positions 28 to 507 of the family's 1533-position model. The record is from RNAcentral.